UGGGCCUCAGGGAGGGGGCAGAAAGGGUUAAGAUCCUUGCAUUGCAGAUUCAUACCACCAGAGCUCAGCCACAGCAGGAGAGACACCGAACGACUAAGUGGGCGGAGUGACUCAGCCCGUUGACGUCAGCCAGCCUCUGUCCUGCAGUAUUUGAGCAAUGGAUAUGUGAAUGGAGCGGUGGCCCCGUGGUGGCCCCGUGGUGGCAGGGAUCAAGGCCAUCCAUAUGGCACAUACUCCAGAGAAGCAUCCACUAUAGGAGGCCGUGACCCCGAAAGAUAGACUUUCUGUAUCCAGGAACCAAGGCAUAGGAGCGGUCCUGCUUACCAUCCCUCCUAGUGACCCAGCUGGGGGAUCUGUGCUCCCCAACCCCACAGAUGCAGACCCUGUGGGUCUAAAGAGGCUGGUUUCCAGAGGACGGCUGCUUUCAUCUGAUGUCUUCUGACUCCUGGUACCAGGAGAUCAGCAGGCAAGGCAAGAAGCUGCCCCUAGGGCAGGAGCCAUUGAGCCCAGUGAUGGGAGGGGGCGGUACCAUUGUUGCAUAAAGGGGAAGGACUGAAUAUGUUUGGCCUUCAGGUACUCCCCUGGGGCAUCUCUUGGUACACCCCUGCCUGAUACGAGGUAAAUGGGCGAGUGUAGAAAGCCAUGCCAGAGAACUGUGUGCUGUGGUGUAGUAACCAGGGGCGUGGGCUCCUUAGGGAUGAGGGUCUGGAUCCCUCCAAUAGGUAAGUUUCCUAGAACAACAGAGGUGUUGGCUCGAGGUGAGAGGUAUCCAGAAUGGGUCGGAGAGGAUGGGGUUAGUGGGAUUCAGCUGUGGCCCCCUAAUCGGAUGUGGUGACGGUGGUUGGUCCCACUCAUCUUCCUCUGGUAGUUUCCACUGGUGAAGAGAAGCCCCAGAAGAGCCUAGGAGUUGCUCCCAGAAGGGGCACACUCAGAACACGGAGUCAGUGAUCCCGGUGGUACAAAAGCUACAUUGUACGGGAUGCCGUGCUGUGCUGCCCGGAAUUCCUGCAUGGGACCAAGGUACUUUGCCCCCCAAGGGCUAAGGGUGCCAGCUGCUCAUGACUCCCAUGGGAGUCCCCCUCUAGGAACUAAGCUCAUCUUCAGGUAGCCCAAGGCUACAGCUCCUCCCGAAGGGAAGCCCACAUCCAAUGACUGGUUGGUGCGGAAUACAGCCUGGCACCUUCGUCCCGAUUCAGGGCAACUUUGGAGGGAAGUUCAACUUCUGAGCUUCCUGUAUGAUUCAACUUCUUCCUCUGCCUAAUUUUGCUUCUCUCACUCGUGUCAAGGUACUGUUAUUUUUUUAUUAUUAAAAAUAAGUACCUUAUUGUCUCGGGUAACCCUUCCACAUUCGUAUCAGCCAACACUUUUGUUACACCCAUCUCACAGAUGAGAAAAGGGAGACACUGAGUGGUUAUGGGAGGUCACGGAGUCUCCUUUGGUGGCAAUAAUUCUGUGACAUUUGGCUUCUCUCCUCUCUCCGGGCUGUGAAGGUCCAACUCUGCCUUGCAGGUUUCUUCCCUGGGGGUGGGGAUGGGAGCAAAGAGAAGUAGAAUUCAUGGCUGGAUCUUUUGUGUGUUGAGAGACGAACAUUCAGAAGCUUUGGGAAAACUCUGGGAGACCGUGACCGUUGUAAAAUUGGUCUACGCGUUGCCUCCCAUGGUUUACUGGAGUAGUUAGACGUAAAAGCGUUAAUAUUGGCUGAUGUGGUUUGGGGGGGGGCGCGCAGUGAGUAGGGAGAGAGAGAGGGACCAAGGGACCAUGAGAGGACCUGGGGGUCCCCUGUCCUUUUCCAUCAGUCUGGGGGAGAUCGGGCCUCCCGGCGACCAGUCGGUGAGAGCUGAAAAAACAUUUUUUAAAGAUUUACAUGACACAUUGUGUAAGUUCGAGGUGUACAACAUGUGGAUUUGACACACGUAUGGAUUGUAAAAUGAUUAAUGCUGAAGCUUUCGAGAGGCCAGGAGAGCGGAUGGAUUUCUGAAGCCAGUGAGACCGGGGCAUGUGGGGAGCUCCUCCCCAGACGUUUCACCGUGGUAAGCUCCUGGAUGCAAAGAUUCAGACGCUGAGCAGCCUCCUUUCCUGGGAUUCGGGCUCCAGGAGGGGAGAUAACAUUUGGAGGCACACAGCUGUGCUACAAAGCAUGCUGCAGGAGAGAGAGAGAGCGAGAGAGAGAAGAGCGAGCGAGCUGGAGUGGGGCUAGCAUGGUGAGAUCAGCAAUGCAGCAGGGCAGAAAAGCCUGCAACAUUUCUACUGCUGGUGGAGAGAGAGAGAGACCUGAACUGUGUGAAUUCAAACCAGCCUUUACCUGGUGCGAGAGAAGUCUGUGUUGGAAUGCGCACGGGGCCGCUGUGUGACCCUGGGCGCCCUUUACCAUUCAGAUCCUCAGCUGAACCAGAAGUCUCUAAGGCUUUCUUUUCCAUUCUGAGUCGGAGGAGAGAAGCCACCCAGGAGGGGAAGGAAGGGGACGUGAGCGAAGGGCCCUUCCAGGGUUCCCGUGGGGGAGGCCCCUGGUUCACAGUCCGACACGGGGUAUAGGUACCACGUUUAUAGGUGCCAUGUUUUCUCUCCCCGUUGUGGGGGAAUCUCACCCCUUCAGACACGACGCUGCUGAAACAUGACAGCACUGGGGCUUUCGGGAAACAUUGCUGCAGGCGGACAGAGUCGAGAGACGGCAGGUGGCGCUCUUUCUCCAAAAACAGAUUGGUAUCUGUCACAGAGGACCUCUGCGGUCCGCAGGCAUCCAGGGGACCACAGGGAAACGGCUGGUCACGAUGGCCCCUCGGGCAUAGCUGUCCCCUCACUCGGACACUCCCUGCUGGGCCUGGGCUAAAAAAAAAAAAAAACACUGACCAAGAUGAAUGCGCACAGCCCCCUGCCCAUGACCUUCAUGCCAGCUGCUGCGUUUGCAAAGGAGAAUCUCGAGCAUCACCAGGGCUGAUUGCACACGUCUGGGCUUUAGGUCACGACAGGGCAGGGUCACACCGUCUCUGGGUGUGCUGCUCAAACUCAUCGCUUAUCACACGGGCAGCAGAGGGGGCCAGGUCCUCCUGCCGUAUCGGGUGAGCCAGUAUCCUCUGGGAAACGGAUGGGAGGCAGGAUUCCAGAAGCACCCCUUCUCUGGAGGAGCUGGAUUUUACCUGGGGAACGUUGCCGUUUUUCAGAGAAGACCGAUCUGAAAUUGGACCUUCUUUGAAGAUGUAUGUAAACAGAAGCGAGCCAGCAAGCAAGCAGAGACCCACCCAAAUUAUCUCACAAUCAAGGGAAAAGAUCACUGGGCUGGAAUUCAGGAAUCUGGCAAGGACACUAACUGGCUGUGUGACUUUAGGCAGGUCGCUUAUGUCUGGCCCUGCCCCACUUUGAUCAUCAGGAGUAAUGAAUUGCUCAUGUCCCUUUCAGUUAAAUAGCAUGUGUGUGUCUUUGAGAGAGAAAGAGAGAGAGAAAAGGGGAGAAAGGGAGACAAGACAGAGACAGAGGCAGGAUGGAAGCGUGUGUUCUUGGGGACUGAGGAGGCCCCCCAACUCUGAUUCCCAUUUCAAGCAUUAGAGCCCAUGGGGACCACACCCAGUGAAGAGCUAUGUCACCUCCGCCAUCCUGGGAACCGGAGUAGUUCCCUCAGAAGCAUCGUAACCACCAUAGAUGUGCGUACGAUCUUCAUUUAGUGGCUGGAACAGCCGUGCGCCUCCCAUCCGAGCCCCCAUCUUCUGGCUUCUCGGGAGCGACUUCAACCAACAGAGUUCCAGCGGGGAGAGAAAGAGAGAGAGCUCUUCCCUCACUCCUGGGGCGUUGGAUACAGUUGGCAGAGUCACAGCUGAAAAGGGGAAGCAGAUGGAAAUGAAGUCACAUCUGCGGCGAGUUGGACGUCUUGGGUUGAGUUUGUCACCCUCCACUGAGAGUCCUUCCCGGGUACGGUAGACUGUUUUCACGUGCCAGUCCCAACUAUGGGUGCAGUGAGGUGAAGACAACCGUUUCAUUCACCGCGUUUUCUUUUAGGGAAAGCACUGUUUGUUUGGAAGAAAUACUUAGCUCAAUUGGUUGGGUUGAAGUGUGAGACUUCGGGGCGUGCUCUCAACCCCUGGAGCUUGCUCGCUAGCCGCGAGACAGGAGAUAAAGCCAAGUAUUCUGUUCUUGACAGGAAGGCGUGGAGGGAGAGAGGAAGGGGGGGGAGCAAGAGUGACUCGAUGAGAGACUGUGAUGUGUGAUGCAGGACCCUCUCCAUCCCUGACCCCCCCGCCUCCCCGCUGUAAAAUCCGUGAACUUGCUGAUUAACCGCUUGCUCACGCGAGCAGAAUGCUGGACUCCAAGGAGCUGGGUUCCUGGUCAGUUUCUUGUCCUCACUGACGGGGAGCUGACACGGAAGUGUGUGUCAGCAGAUGCUGGAGGCAGAAGGUACCAUGAGAAAGCCUACAUCGCCAGGAAUGAGACGGAAGGAGAGAGUUUUGAGCUGUGGAAUUUGAGUCUUCAACCUUGACCUCAAUGUCAAGGCAGAAUCCAAGCUGGCCUCUUCACAGCAGCCAGAUGAAACCCGUGUCCCUUCUGUGCUGCAUCGUUGGCUUGCCGACUGUUCCAACUUUUGAUGAUUGGCGCCGUCUGUGAUUAUGUGAGCUAUAGGAACGUUGGAUGUUUAAGGGCGUCCAGAACUCAAGGUUCAGGGACUCCCUUGAUCUCAGAAUAACCCAAUAAAUGUUUUUGUAGUGGUGGAUCUAUA
Long non-coding RNA from Felis catus (domestic cat), 4702 nucleotides. RefSeq lists it as uncharacterized. Lineage: Eukaryota; Metazoa; Chordata; Mammalia; Carnivora; Felidae. The record is from RefSeq and is a predicted model, not a curated record. The transcript is spliced from 2 exons.